Molecule: long non-coding RNA, 2238 nt
Organism: Phymastichus coffea
Lineage: Eukaryota; Metazoa; Arthropoda; Insecta; Hymenoptera; Eulophidae
Exons: 3
Source: RefSeq, a predicted model, not a curated record
CGCCAUAACACACAAUUGACAACCGGAAGGGCUUUCCUCAUUUUCCGCGAUUUUAUCACCGCUCGCUAACCCGGGAUAGCGUAUUGGCUUUAAUAUUUCUUUUUUUCCACGAAUGGAUUAGUCGAUGCCAUGCUUGCGUGUUACGAAAAAAAAUAUCCGACCAAAGAUUGCACAGACUGUUUGCAUGUGACAACCAAAUGAUCGUGACUGCAUUUUUUUUCACUAAGAAAAGAUGUCAUUUUUGCGCUUGUUCGAGUCGUUUUUGUUUUUACAAAUAGCUUAAGUUAUUGUACAGUUACAUUAUUGUAUUGUACAAUAGGAGCUGUUAAAACAAUUUCUAUCGUCUUUCCCGUUUCGUAAAGGGUAAAUAUUGUGUGUUUAGAUUACUUUAGUUAUUGGUCAAUUUGCGAAGACUGUAAAAAAAUUUUUUUUUUCGUAUCUACGGCUUGACCCUCUUAGUUAUUAAUUUGGAGGUAUAUUUCUGUGGAUUAAACGAUUCCAUCUUGCAUAGAAUCAUUGAAUGCGUGCUUCUCUACCAUAUGCUUAUAAUUGAAUUCCGUCGGCAAGGAAAUUCCUAAAAUAACACACUAAUAUGUAUUUAUAACAAGAAUUAUUUUGUGCAAACAUUUCCAGAUUUGUUUAAAAAACUGAACGAAGAAAAAGGAAAAUAAAAUAUGCUAUUAUUACAGUGGCUUUAUAUCACGUUUGCUUACAUCAGACUAUUCAAUGUACGACUGAAAUGAACAUUAUUAGAACGUUGCAAAUGAUAAACUGAUUAAGAUGAUAAUUAGGAGUCAACAAAGCUGUUAAAACUUUGAGCUUGGUUUUCUUUAAUCAAAAAUUUGAUUGCGAACACUUACGGAAUUUAACAAAUUUUUGUCAAAUUUAGCAAAGCAAAAUAGUAAUCCCUAAUUAUUGAAGCCACCUUCAAGUUUCUAAAGAAAAUACUUCGGACAAGGAAAGAUACUUUUAAAUAUCCUAUUAUUUGUAUUGUUUGUAAUUCGACAAUGCGUCGCUGACUUUUUCUACUCGACAAGUUCGAAGUUUAUUGAGAAAUUCGAGUUGGCAUCGUUCUCAAAACGUUUUCCUCGUGAAAACAAUCUUGUCAAAUAGAAUUUUUCAGAAAGCAUAUGACUUCAACCAGCGUGCGUAAAAAGAAGAUUGAUAGAGCCGAUCGAAUCGAUGGACUUAAAGAGCCAUGCAAAGCUGAACGGAUUUGGCUGCACGUGUUUUUCGUUGCUUCUUCGCGCGUUGCCUCGUUCUACGUUCUUUACCCUGCCUUCACUUCAACGAAAAUUACAAAGACGUUUCUUGAUGAGUUAUUGACAAAUUUAAAUUAUCAAGGCUGUUUUUUGUCGACCUUGGAAAAGGAGACCUGGCUGUUUUCUAAACGUAUAAGUGGACGGAUAUCUUCCGAACAGCUAAACCAAUUUGCUUCGGACUGAUUUUAUGGACAGCGAUCCGUGCAACUCGGCACGGAUCGAAUACCCCAAUAUCUUGGAGAACGAAAGGAGAGUCAACGUAAAAUACCUGCGAGAAGAUCCAGUACUCAGGUUCCAGAACAAGUUCGUUGCGCGUCGUUAACUAUGAUUUUCCAAGCUCGUUAAAAAAAUUAACGCGGCAUUGCAGGUGCUCGAUAUCACUGUAUUGCUUCAUCUUACUUCGUCGUGCAGGCUUCGAGUGAUACACUUGGAGCAACGGUUUCUUUGUAGCGGGUGUAUUACCUUAUUUGUUCAUCAUCUGUAUCCACGGCAUCGUCAAUUCCAUGAGCUACGCUUACGGAAAUAGAUCUUACGAGCAAAGAUCUUCAGCCGAUGCAGUGCAAGACUGUGUCUCUCGUGACAAUGGGAGAAUGCUGACACAGCUAUUAUCACACUUUCCCGUGGGACUAUGAAUCGAGUUGGCGGACCACGGGUUCAAUGUCGUCAACGCCUUCGUUGACUUUUUCGCAUGGAUGGCGUGGGUUUACGACUUGAAAAGCUUCUCAGCAGAGAUGGUUAGACUGAUCAGACUGGGCUAAUCAAGAUAUCACGGAUGACGAUAGGAAAGCGACGAUGAUUACUUGGAAAUUGUUAUAACAGCGACAGCAAAGGAAUACGAUUCGAGACACUUGUCCAUAUUUUACUUGAUUUUCGUUUUGUCUCACUAUACCUACGCACUCUUGAGCUCUGUACUCGAGAGAGCACGUUUACUACAAUUAUCAUUUUCGUUGAUGUUAUCACACGAAAUAUAUGUUUA